This 399-nucleotide long non-coding RNA is filed under the name Mus musculus (house mouse). RNAcentral describes it as "predicted gene 2245". The record is from RNAcentral. Lineage: Eukaryota; Metazoa; Chordata; Mammalia; Rodentia; Muridae.
CUUCAGUGAUGAGACUAUGCCAUUCUGUCUGUAAUGUUUAUAGCACUCUCUCUCCAUGCUUGGUUAUUCAUCCACAGCUUCUCCAAUAGCCUCCCCAUUUUAUGCAUUGUCAUUAUUAUCAGAGUCACUUACUUCUGCACUGGACUUUGAAAUACAGCGGAAGAAAAUAAUUUAGGGUUCAGGAUGAUAUAACACAGGCUAACCCUUAAAAGCAUCCUCCAUUCUUUCCAAAGAUAAGAGGUCCAAAGUCUGGCUAAGAGUAAUGGUUCACUCAGACACAAAGCUUAAAACCACAAGAUCUGGGAUAAGAACCUGUUUUUCUUAUUUAAGGUUGAAGAGGUUUCUUUGUUUGUUUGUUUAGCAUGCCAUGAAGCCAAAUAUGCUUUUUUCAAAAAUGCA